RNAcentral lists this ribosomal RNA (253 nucleotides) under uncultured bacterium. RNAcentral describes it as "partial 16S ribosomal RNA". It matches the Rfam family "Bacterial small subunit ribosomal RNA", at positions 524 to 776 of the family's 1533-position model. The record is from RNAcentral.
UACGUAGGGUGCGAGCGUUAAUCGGAAUUACUGGGCGUAAAGCGUGCGCAGGCGGUUUUGUAAGCCAGGGGUGAAAUCCCCGGGCUCAACCUGGGAAUGGCAUUUGGGACUGCAAGGCUGGAGUGCGGCAGAGGAGACUGGAAUUCCUGGUGUAGCAGUGAAAUGCGUAGAGAUGUGGAGGAAUACCGAUGGCGAAGGCAGCCCCCUGGGCCAAUACUGACGCUCAUGCACGAAAGCGUGGGGAGCAGACAGG